This is a long non-coding RNA of Ctenopharyngodon idella (grass carp), 1066 nucleotides long. RefSeq lists it as uncharacterized. Lineage: Eukaryota; Metazoa; Chordata; Actinopteri; Cypriniformes; Xenocyprididae. The transcript has 3 exons. The record is from RefSeq and is a predicted model, not a curated record.
GUUGUGUGCACUCAAUUCAAUCUUGCAUCAGCCGUCACCUGUCUCCAGCGGGAACGAGCCGUAAGAUUCAGUGAAAGACAGCAGUUAUAUGAUCAUCUUUAUGUUCCUUUGAGUGUUUAAAGUUGUGUACAUCCAGAGAAAAAGACGUGUGCUGGAGAGGAGCUGAGUGUGUGUGUGAGUGAUUGACGGUUCUGCUUAAAGAUUUUAGAGCAAGAUGAGCUUGCCAUCUGUGAGUGCAGAGCCAAGGUGAAAGAUCUGGACUGCGGGCAGGCCAAUUCAGCACCCAGACUCUUCUACGAUGAAGCCAUGCUGUUGUAACAGCUGCAGUAUGUGGUUUUGCAUUGUUCUGCUGAAAUACACAAGGCCUUCCCUGAAAUAGACAUCAUCUGGAGGGGAGCAUAUGUUGCUCUAAAACCUUUAUAUACCUUUCAGCAUUCAUAGUGCCAUCCAAAACACGCAAGCUGCCCAUACCAUAUGCACUUAUGCAACCCCAUACCAUCAGAGAUGCUGGCUUUUGAACUGAACGCUGAUAACACGCUGGAAGGUCUCCCUCCUCUAUAGGCCGGAGGACACGGCAUCCCUGAUUUUCAACAAGAAGUUGUGUUUACCGACAGCGGUUUCUGGAAGUAUUCCUGGGCCCAUUUAGUAAUGUCAUUGACACAAUCAUGCCGAUGAGUGAUGCAGUGUCGUCUGAGGGCCCGAAGACCACGGGCAUCCAAUAAAGCACAGAGAUUUGUCCAGUUUCUCUGAAUCUUUUAAUGAUGUUAUGCACUGUAGAUGAUGAGAUUUACAAAGCCUUUGCAAUUUGACGUUGAGGAACAUUGUUUUCCACAAUCUUUUUACGCACUCUUUCACAGCUCUGCCCAUCUUUACUUCUGAGAGACUCUGCUUCUCUAAGACAUCCCUUUUAUAGCUAAUCAUGUUACAGACCUGAUAUCAAUUAACUUAAUUAGUUGCUAGAUGUUCUCCCAGCUGAAUCUUUUUAAAGUUUCUUGCUUUUUCAGCCAUUUGUUGCCCCCGUGCCAACUUUUUUGAGACCUGUAGCAGGCAUCAAAUUUGAAAUGAG